UGGUGGUCUGAACUGUCUGGUUAAUUCCGAUAACGAACGAGAUCUCAACCUACUAACUAGUUAUGCGAAUCUUUCUACCAAAGGUUUGGCGUCGCCGGCGCGGUUGCUUCGGUGGCUGCGUCGGUUGCGGCGUCGCCUGGAUAGAUUCGUAGGCAACUUCUUAGAGGGACUAUUGGCGUUAAGCCAAUGGAAGCUUGAGACAAAAACA
Molecule: ribosomal RNA, 208 nt
Filed under: uncultured eukaryote
Lineage: Eukaryota
Description: partial 18S ribosomal RNA
Rfam family: Eukaryotic small subunit ribosomal RNA
Source: RNAcentral